Notothenia coriiceps (black rockcod) is the source of this 279-nucleotide long non-coding RNA. RefSeq lists it as uncharacterized. The record is from RefSeq and is a predicted model, not a curated record. Lineage: Eukaryota; Metazoa; Chordata; Actinopteri; Perciformes; Nototheniidae. The transcript has 3 exons.
UGAUUCCAUAUUAGCCUAGCCUAGCCUGAGAGCGUCGGAGAGAUAUCGCUGCUGCGCUUUCUCCAGCGUGGGCUGCAAGAGCACAACUUCAGAGAGUCAAGACACAACACAGCCACCUCAUAAGAGCAGGAAACACGGGAAACUUUAACAAUGACAACCAAGAAGCCGCAGAGCUUGCUCCGUGAAGCGUCUCAUCAGAUUAUAGCGGGGGGAUCCGCAGGUCUGGUGGAGAUCUGCUUGAUGCAUCCACUCGAUGUAGUGAAGACAAGGUAAGCCACC